UACGUAGGGGGCAAGCGUUGUUCGGAAUUACUGGGCGUAAAGGGCGCGUAGGCGGCACAGCAAGUCGGGAGUGAAAGCCCGGGCUCAACCCCGGAAUGGCUUUCGAAACCUGGCUGAGCUAGAGUACAGAAGGGGCAACCGGAAUUCCCAGUGUAGCGGUGAAAUGCGUAGAUAUUGGGAAGAACACCUGAGGCGAAGCGGGUUGCUGGGCUGAGUGACUGACGCUGAAGGAGCGAAAGCGUGGGGAGCGAACAGG
RNAcentral lists this ribosomal RNA (256 nucleotides) under uncultured bacterium. Its description in RNAcentral is "partial 16S ribosomal RNA". It matches the Rfam family "Bacterial small subunit ribosomal RNA", at positions 524 to 776 of the family's 1533-position model. The record is from RNAcentral.